CUGUGUUGGAAUCGUCUAGGUAACGCCAGCAACGAGGACCUGGACAAGUUCAGCGAGCGUUACAUCGACCCGGAGGACGAGGACCAGCAGGAGGACACGGGGGGGCGGCGGGAGGGACAGGAAGUGACCGUUACCAUGGCAACGACCUCGAGGACCACAGAGCAGGGCUGGGUGGACGGUCGUAACUCCGCAUCACUUCCUGUUUCUCUGGACAUGAAGACGCUGGUCUGGGUGAUCCUGAUCAGCCUGAACUUGCAGCUACAACACACACUGUGACACACACAGACACAGCAGCUGACGAUCGGUUGGAUCCUGGCUAGCAUGAUCUGAGGGGGGGGGGGCGCCUCUGUGACCUCUAACCUCUGCGGAGAGGAGCCCCGGCUUCCCUCAGCGUGGGCUUCCAGGCGGACCAGCUCAGCCAAUCACAGAGCGUUCACAGUUUACUGCACUGAGAGUCACAAACUCUUCUCAUUAAUAUCAAACUACAUCACGUUUAUCACCUUUUCACUGUUUUAUUUAAACAUGCAAGUUCAAACAGAACCAAGAUCUUCUCUCCACGGAGAGAUCGUCUAUAAAAAUAUAUAUAUGGAAGUUCAUUAACGACAAAACUGUUGAGUGAGAGCAAAAUAAAAUCAGACUUCAGCGAAGCUGAACAAGUCGAGACUCAACAAGGAAUUCACAGAGAAAGCGACUCUAAAAAUGAAGUAAAUUACAUUUUAAAUGUCAACAUCUGAAUUCAAAUCAAAUGAUUUAUUAUGAAUAUCAUGUUUGUAUUCUCCCACUCCGAAUAAAUACUACUUUUUAUCCGGACGUGGAAGUUCUACUGCAGUCCUGUUUUGUUGUUAAUGAACUUCCACAUUUGUUUUCAUCAGAAAACAUUUCAUUUAGAACUGUAUUUAUUAUGUUGAACUUCUUGUUGACAUGGACUUUUAAAAAAUAUAUAUAUGUAUACAGUCAAAUAUUAAAAGAAAAAGAAGAGAAUUCAGGCUCAUAUUAGAAACUUUGUUUAAACUUUACUUGAAGGUAUCUACAUAAGAGUGACAUGACACUGUCCUGAAUGUGUCAUAAACAUUAUAAACAAGUCCUAAACGUUUAUGACAUAACACUGC
Long non-coding RNA from Perca fluviatilis (European perch), 1109 nucleotides. RefSeq lists it as uncharacterized. The record is from RefSeq and is a predicted model, not a curated record. NCBI's taxonomy places the organism in Eukaryota, Metazoa, Chordata, Actinopteri, Perciformes, Percidae. The transcript has 3 exons.